UCCUGCUGUUGUGCAAAAACAUUUCACAGUCGACCACAAAGUUCCUCACUCUCUCUCUCUCUCUCUCUCUCUCUCUUGUCCUGUGUCUGUGAAACAACAGUUAUGAUAAAUGAAAUCUCCCUCACUACCUCACAGCGAGCGACCUUCAUUAACCUCCUCCUGAUUGAUGUGUGUGUGUGCGUGUGUGUGUGUGUAGAGAGAGAGAAACUGGUAGACUUUCGGCAAACAUCAGCUGACAGAAGAUAAAUCAGACACCCACUCCAUCUUCAUCCUCCUCUUCAUCACCGCGGGGCCUCGCCUGCUCUGGCAUUUGGUUGCCAGGGAACACGGACCUAAAAAUCACCCACAAGGCUCUCUCUCCUCAGAGGACGUUUGAUAUCUUUAGAUGGUUUUAAGUCUUAUAAAGAAGCUAACACUCAGGAUUACUGUCGUCUGUUAACGUCUUCAUGAGUUGAGUGAAGAUUACGAGACAUGAGCUCGGCUUUAGCUUCUGUUUUAUGAGUUCAUUUCUGGUUUUAAAAUGUCUGAUUCAACGAUAAACUCAGAGGCAGAGAUCAGUACGGGGGAGGAAAUGAAGUCUAGAUGUGGAGUUCUGAUGUUACCGGGCAGAUUUGGAGGUCCAAUGUAAAUCCCUCUCUGUUUCUUUAAGCCUUUAACUUCCUUCAUGGAGCUUUAGGAUGUGAAAGUUUUGACCCUGUUGGAGACAUAUCCAUCCAUCCAUCCAUCAUCUACACCGCUUUUCCUGCUCGGGGUCGCCGAGGGGCUGGAGCUGAUCCCUGCUGUCAUUGGGCGAGAGGCGGAGUCACUCCCUGGACUGUUCACCAGCCAAUCACAGGGCUGACAUAUAGAGACAGACAACCAGACACACUCACAUUCACACCUACAGACAAUUUAGAGUCACCAGUUAAUCUAACGAGCAUGUCUUUGGACUGUGGGAGGAAGCCGGAGUACCUGGAGAGAACCCACACAUGCACGAGGAGAACAACAAAAGUCAAAUAAAAACAGACACAGUGAGAGUCGGGCAGAAACGUCAAAGCACUCUUCGAUGCUAAGUAUCUCCACACACACACACACACACACACACACACACACACACACACACACACACACACACACACACACACACACACACACACACACACACACACACACACACACACACACACACACACACACACACA
Molecule: long non-coding RNA, 1181 nt
Organism: Labrus mixtus (cuckoo wrasse)
Lineage: Eukaryota; Metazoa; Chordata; Actinopteri; Labriformes; Labridae
Exons: 2
Source: RefSeq, a predicted model, not a curated record